GAUGAACGUUGGCGGCGUGCCUAACACAUGCAAGUCGAACGGAAAUAGCAAUAUUUGAGUGGCGCACGGGUGAGUAACACGUAGCUAAUCUACCUCAAAGCGCGGGAUAACGUGUCGAAAGACAGGCUAAUACCGCAUAAGCUCCCGAUCUGUAGAGGAUUGGGAGAAAAGGCGUAAGUCACUUUGAGAUGAGGCUGCGGCCCAUCAGCUAGUUGGUGCGGUAAUGGCGUACCAAGGCGACGACGGGUAGGGGACCUGAGAGGGUGACCCCCCACACUGGGACUGAGACACGGCCCAGACUCCUACGGGAGGCAGCAGUGAGGAAUAUUGCACAAUGGGCGAAAGCCUGAUGCAGCGACGCCGCGUGGGUGAAGAAGGUUUUCGGAUCGUAAAACCCUUUUCGUGUGACGAGCAAGGACGGUAGCACAGGAAUAAGUCUCGGCUAACUACGUG
This 453-nucleotide ribosomal RNA is filed under the name uncultured bacterium. RNAcentral describes it as "bacterial SSU rRNA". It matches the Rfam family "Bacterial small subunit ribosomal RNA", at positions 28 to 507 of the family's 1533-position model. The record is from RNAcentral.